CACCUCUUGAUAUCAUAUAAGAGGCCCAGCCUGCCCAGUGACUUUAUUCAACGGCCGCGGUAUCCUAACCGUGCAAAGGUAGCGUAAUCACUUGUCUUCUAAAUAAAGACUAGUAUGAAAGGCACCACGAGGAUUAAACUGUCUCCCCCCUCUAAUCAGUGAACCUAAUCUCCCCGUGAAGAAGCGGGGAUAACUCUAUAAGACGAGAAGACCCUAUGGAGCUUAAAACAGUACCCACGUGCCACCUAAACCUCCCACACUACGGUUACGGUACCAUCACUGCACCCGCACGCUGACUACAUGUUUUUGGUUGGGGUGACCGCGGAGAACAAACUAUCCUCCACGAUGAAUGGGAAACCCCCUAAAAAACAAGCCACAACUUUACUUAUCAACAAAUUGACAUUCAUUGACCCAAAUAUUUUGACCAACGAACCAAGUUACCCUAGGGAUAACAGCGCAAUCCACUUCAAGAGUCCUUAUCGACAAGUGGGCUUACGACCUCGAUGUUGGAUCAGGGUAUCCUAGUGGUGUAGCCGCUACUAAAGGUUCGUUUGUUCAACGAUU
Molecule: ribosomal RNA, 564 nt
Filed under: Pristimantis cruentus (Chiriqui robber frog)
Lineage: Eukaryota; Metazoa; Chordata; Amphibia; Anura; Strabomantidae
Description: partial 16S ribosomal RNA
Rfam family: Bacterial large subunit ribosomal RNA
Source: RNAcentral